This 262-nucleotide ribosomal RNA is filed under the name uncultured bacterium. Its description in RNAcentral is "partial 16S ribosomal RNA". It matches the Rfam family "Bacterial small subunit ribosomal RNA", at positions 92 to 354 of the family's 1533-position model. The record is from RNAcentral.
UUAGUGGCGGACGGGUGAGUAACGCGUGGAAAACCUGCCGUACACUGGGGGAUAACACUUAGAAAUAGGUGCUAAUACCGCAUAAGCGCACAGCUUCGCAUGAAGCGGUGUGAAAAACUCUGGUGGUAUACGAUGGUUCCGCGUCUGAUUAGCUAGUUGGUGGGGUAAUGGCCUACCAAGGCAACGAUCAGUAGCCGGCCUGAGAGGGUGAACGGCCACAUUGGGACUGAGACACGGCCCAAACUCCUACGGAAGGCAGCAG